This 433-nucleotide ribosomal RNA is filed under the name uncultured bacterium. RNAcentral describes it as "partial 16S ribosomal RNA". It matches the Rfam family "Bacterial small subunit ribosomal RNA", at positions 29 to 507 of the family's 1533-position model. The record is from RNAcentral.
AACGAACGCUGGCGGCAUGCCUAACACAUGCAAGUCGAACGAAACCUUCGGGUCUAGUGGCGCACGGGUGCGUAACGCGUGGGAACCUGCCCUUAGGUUCGGAAUAACUCCCCGAAAGGGGUGCUAAUACCGGAUAAUGUCUCCGGACCAAAGAUUUAUCGCCUUUGGAUGGGCCCGCGUUGGAUUAGCUAGUUGGUAGGGUAAAAGCCUACCAAGGCGACGAUCCAUAGCUGGUCUGAGAGGAUGAUCAGCCACACUGGGACUGAGACACGGCCCAGACUCCUACGGGAGGCAGCGGUGGGGAGUAUUGGACACGGGGCGAAAGCGUGAUCCAUCAAUGCCGCGUGAGUGAUGGAGGCCUUAGGAUUGUAAAGCCCUUUUUACCGAGAUGAUAAUGACCGUACCGGGAGAAUAAGCCCCGGCUAACUCCGUG